UACGUAGGGUGCAAGCGUUAAUCGGAAUUACUGGGCGUAAAGCGUGCGCAGGCGGUUUUGUAAGUCAGAUGUGAAAUCCCCGGGCUUAACCUGGGAACUGCGUUUGAAACUACAAGGCUAGAGUGUGGCAGAGGGGGGUGGAAUUCCACGUGUAGCAGUGAAAUGCGUAGAGAUGUGGAGGAACACCGAUGGCGAAGGCAGCCCCCUGGGCUAACACUGACGCUCAUGCACGAAAGCGUGGGGAGCAAACAGG
This 253-nucleotide ribosomal RNA is filed under the name uncultured bacterium. RNAcentral describes it as "partial 16S ribosomal RNA". It matches the Rfam family "Bacterial small subunit ribosomal RNA", at positions 524 to 776 of the family's 1533-position model. The record is from RNAcentral.